This 395-nucleotide ribosomal RNA is filed under the name uncultured bacterium. RNAcentral describes it as "partial 16S ribosomal RNA". It matches the Rfam family "Bacterial small subunit ribosomal RNA", at positions 523 to 916 of the family's 1533-position model. The record is from RNAcentral.
AUACGUAGGGGGCAAGCGUUAUCCGGAUUUACUGGGUGUAAAGGGAGCGUAGACGGAAGGCCAAGUCUGAUGUGAAAGCCCGCGGCUCAACUGCGGGACUGCAUUGGAAACUGGUCAUCUGGAGUGCAGGAGGGGUAAGCGGGAUUCCUAGUGUAGCGGUGAAAGGCAUAGAUAUUGGGAGGAACACCGGUGGCGAAGGCGUGUUGGUGGUCCGCUCUGGUCACUGAGGCGAGAAGGCUAGGGGAGAGACGGGUAUUAGAUACCGGUUGAGCCCGAGGCGUAAGAAAGGGGCACGGGGUGUUGGGGGUAUCGCCCCCGGCAGUGCCGACGCUAACGCAUUAAGUGCCCCGCCUGGGGAGUACGACCGCAAGGUUAAAACUCAAAUGAAUUGACGG